Molecule: ribosomal RNA, 833 nt
Filed under: uncultured bacterium
Lineage: Bacteria
Description: bacterial SSU rRNA
Rfam family: Bacterial small subunit ribosomal RNA
Source: RNAcentral
CAGUCGACGGUAGCACAGAGAGCUUGCUCUCGGGUGACGAGUGGCGGACGGGUGAGUAAUGUCUGGGAAACUGCCUGAUGGAGGGGGAUAACUACUGGAAACGGUAGCUAAUACCGCAUAAUGUCCCAAGACCAAAGAGGGGGACCUUCGGGCCUCUUGCCAUCAGAUGUGCCCAGAUGGGAUUAGCUAGUAGGUGGGGUAACGGCUCACCUAGGCGACGAUCCCUAGCUGGUCUGAGAGGAUGACCAGCCACACUGGAACUGAGACACGGUCCAGACUCCUACGGGAGGCAGCAGUGGGGAAUAUUGCACAAUGGGCGCAAGCCUGAUGCAGCCAUGCCGCGUGUAUGAAGAAGGCCUUCGGGUUGUAAAGUACUUUCAGCGGGGAGGAAGGUGUUGUGGUUAAUAACCGCAGCAAUUGACGUUACCCGCAGAAGAAGCACCGGCUAACUCCGUGCCAGCAGCCGCGGUAAUACGGAGGGUGCAAGCGUUAAUCGGAAUUACUGGGCGUAAAGCGCACGCAGGCGGUCUGUCAAGUCGGAUGUGAAAUCCCCGGGCUCAACCUGGGAACUGCAUUCGAAACUGGCAGGCUGGAGUCUUGUAGAGGGGGGUAGAAUUCCAGGUGUAGCGCUGAAAUGCGUAGAGAUCUGGAGGAAUACCGGUGGCGAAGGCGGCCCCCUGGACACUGACUGACGCUCAUGUGCGAAAGCGUGGGGAGCACACAGGAUUAGAUACCCUGGUAGUCCACGGCGUACACGAUGUCGAUUUGGAGGUUGUGCCGUUGAGGCGUGGUCUUACUGCAGCUAGACGCGUAAAAUCGACCGUCCUGGGCGA